CCUACGGGUGGCAGCAGUGAGGAAUAUUGGUCAAUGGGCGUAAGCCUGAACCAGCCAAGUCGCGUGAGGGAUGAAGGUUCUACGGAUUGUAAACUUCUUUUAUAAGGGAAUAAAGUGUGGGACGUGUCCCGUUUUGUAUGUACUUUAUGAAUAAGGAUCGGCUAACUCCGUGCCAGCAGCCGCGGUAAUACGGAGGAUCCGAGCGUUAUCCGGAUUUAUUGGGUUUAAAGGGAGCGUAGGCGGGUUUUUAAGUCAGCGGUGAAAGUUUGUGGCUCAACCAUAAAAUUGCAGUUGAAACUGGCAGGCUUGAGUAGAGUUGAGGUAGGCGGAAUGCGUGGUGUAGCGGUGAAAUGCUUAGAUAUCACGAAGAACCCCGAUUGCGAAGGCAGCCUACUAAGCCGUCACUGACACUGAUGCUCGAAAGUGUGGGGAUCAAACAGGAUUAGAUACCCGUGUAGUC
This 460-nucleotide ribosomal RNA is filed under the name uncultured bacterium. Its description in RNAcentral is "partial 16S ribosomal RNA". It matches the Rfam family "Bacterial small subunit ribosomal RNA", at positions 338 to 795 of the family's 1533-position model. The record is from RNAcentral.